RNAcentral lists this long non-coding RNA (316 nucleotides) under Theobroma cacao (cacao). Its description in RNAcentral is "long non-coding RNA (TCAC_LNC003667)". Lineage: Eukaryota; Viridiplantae; Streptophyta; Magnoliopsida; Malvales; Malvaceae. The record is from RNAcentral.
UGGAAUGGAAUAUCUUACUUGUCUCCAUUUACUCGACUUUAAAUGGUUUAGAUGGUAUCUGUUUACUCACUAGAAUUUUAUAAUCUCACCACCCUCAAUUCCCCACAUUUUAGGCUCGGGAUAGCUGGUAGAUAGCCGAUUGCAUCAAGGACUUCAGUUAGCCUUGCAUCGACAAAAUUGUAGGUUCACAGACUCGCACCUUAUUGGUUAGUUGGGGGCCCACGUGUCACUGUAAAAGUAAUUUCAUAUUUCAGUUAUCUACUUUAAAGUACGUAUGAAUAUAUUUAGCUUUUACACUACAGAAAUUAAAUUACGG